RNAcentral lists this ribosomal RNA (467 nucleotides) under uncultured bacterium. RNAcentral's name for it is "partial 16S ribosomal RNA". It matches the Rfam family "Bacterial small subunit ribosomal RNA", at positions 28 to 507 of the family's 1533-position model. The record is from RNAcentral.
GACGAACGCUGGCGGCGUGCUUAACACAUGCAAGUCGAACGGAAAGGCCUCUUUCGGGGGGUACUCGAGUGGCGAACGGGUGAGUAACACGUGAGUAACCUGCCCUUGACUUUGGGAUAACUUCAGGAAACUGGGGCUAAUACCGGAUAGGAGCUCCUGCUGCAUGGUGGGGGUUGGAAAGUUUCGGCGGUUGGGGGUGGACUCGCGGCUUAUCAGCUUGUUGGUGGGGUAGUGGCUUACCAAGGCUUUGACGGGUAGCCGGCCUGAGAGGGUGACCGGCCACAUUGGGACUGGGAUACGGCCCAGACUCCUACGGGAGGCAGCAGUGGGGAAUAUUGCACAAUGGGUGGAAGCCUGAUGCAGCAACGCCGUGUGCGGGAUGACGGCCUUCGGGUUGUAAACCGCUUUCGCUCAUGACGAAGCUUUGUGUGACGGUAGUGGGUAAAGAAGCACCGGCUAACUACGUG